CUUAAAUUGAAGAGUUUGAUCAUGGCUCAGAUUGAACGCUGGCGGCAGGCCUAACACAUGCAAGUCGAGCACAAACAAGUUAUCUGAACCUUCGGGGAACGAUAACGG
This 108-nucleotide ribosomal RNA is filed under the name Vibrio parahaemolyticus. RNAcentral's name for it is "partial 16S ribosomal RNA". Lineage: Bacteria; Pseudomonadati; Pseudomonadota; Gammaproteobacteria; Vibrionales; Vibrionaceae. The record is from RNAcentral.